AUUGAACGCUGGCGGCAUGCUUUACACAUGCAAGUCGAACGGUAACAGGGUGCUUACACCGCUGACGAGUGGCGAACGGGUGAGUAAUGCGUCGGAACGUGCCGAGUAGUGGGGGAUAACGCAGCGAAAGUUGUGCUAAUACCGCAUACGUACUGAGGUAGAAAGUGGGGGACUUUCGGGCCUCACGCUAUUCGAGCGGCCGACGUCUGAUUAGCUAGUAGGUGAGGUAAAGGCUCACCUAGGCGACGAUCAGUAGCGGGUCUGAGAGGAUGAUCCGCCACACUGGGACUGAGACACGGCCCAGACUCCUACGGGAGGCAGCAGUGGGGAAUUUUGGACAAUGGGCGAAAGCCUGAUCCAGCCAUGCCGCGUGUCUGAAGAAGGCCUUCGGGUUGUAAAGGACUUUUGUCAGGGAGGAAAUCCCUAGUGCUAAUAACACUGGGGGAUGACAGUACCUGAAGAAUAAGCACCGGCUAACUACGUGCCAGCCGCCGCGGUAA
RNAcentral lists this ribosomal RNA (500 nucleotides) under uncultured bacterium. Its description in RNAcentral is "partial 16S ribosomal RNA". It matches the Rfam family "Bacterial small subunit ribosomal RNA", at positions 30 to 523 of the family's 1533-position model. The record is from RNAcentral.